GUCCACGCAGUAAACGUUGUUCACUAGGUGUAGCGGGUAUUGACCCCUGCUGUGCCGCAGUUAACGCAUUAAGUGAACCGCCUGGGGAGUACGGCCGCAAGGUUAAAACUCAAAGGAAUUGACGGGGGCCCGCACAAGCGGUGGAGCAUGUGGUUUAAUUCGACGCAACGCGAAGAACCUUACCUGGAUUUGACAUCCCGGGAAUUCUAUCGAAAGACUGAAGUGCCCUUCGGGGAGCCCGGUGACAGGUGCUGCAUGGCU
This 261-nucleotide ribosomal RNA is filed under the name uncultured bacterium. Its description in RNAcentral is "partial 16S ribosomal RNA". It matches the Rfam family "Bacterial small subunit ribosomal RNA", at positions 793 to 1050 of the family's 1533-position model. The record is from RNAcentral.